CACUCGAACGCUACAUGCGUCUGUCGAAAAUGGAGCUGAACAGGCUGGAAUCAAAGGGCCUGGCAGAUUUGAGAGAAGAAUCAAUAAGAUCCCAGGACAUUACAAGAGACUCACAGUUGGACUUCACGCACCA
Molecule: non-coding RNA, 133 nt
Organism: Plectropomus leopardus (leopard coralgrouper)
Lineage: Eukaryota; Metazoa; Chordata; Actinopteri; Perciformes; Serranidae
Source: RefSeq, a predicted model, not a curated record